This is a long non-coding RNA of Ziziphus jujuba (common jujube), 447 nucleotides long. RefSeq lists it as uncharacterized. The record is from RefSeq and is a predicted model, not a curated record. The transcript has 2 exons. NCBI's taxonomy places the organism in Eukaryota, Viridiplantae, Streptophyta, Magnoliopsida, Rosales, Rhamnaceae.
UAGGAUUGUUUCCAUUUCAAAAUACACUCAGAACCAGAUUUUUGAGACAGCAAUAAAGAAGGCCAUGGCCAUGGAAGGACAUGAUUCAAGAAGAGUGGCGCUACUGUUUACGGCGAUGAUCAUGAUUUUAGCUGCUACUAGUGUGCAGGGUCAAUCCCUUAGUUGCAUUGUUAAAUGUACAUUACAAUGUGCUGGUAAAAAAACGAGUGUAACUUGUACCGGUUUAUGUUUAAAGAAUUGCAAGGACCAACUUCAAGAGACUCUAUGAUUGCACUUUUGGUUGUGCAAUGUCCUCGUGCACCAAAUUUGUCUCUGGAAAAGUAGAAGGUUGUGUGGAUUCAUGCUUCAAAAACUGCAGCAAAUUUCAUGCGCUUGCCUAGUAUGUAAAAAUUGUUAACUGCACAUCAAUAAAUGUAACAAAAAAUAAAUAAGACAAUAAAUUAUAUA